Molecule: ribosomal RNA, 250 nt
Filed under: uncultured bacterium
Lineage: Bacteria
Description: partial 16S ribosomal RNA
Rfam family: Bacterial small subunit ribosomal RNA
Source: RNAcentral
UACGAGGGGGGCAAGCGUUGUCCGGAUUCAUUGGGCGUAAAGAGUUCGUAGGCGGUCUAAACAGUCAAAAUUGAAAUACCACGGCUUAACCGUGGGCCCGGUUUUGAUACUUUUAGACUUGAGUUAGGUAGAGGUAAGCGGAAUUCCUGGUGUAGCGGUGAAAUGCGUAGAUAUCAGGAGGAACACCAAAGGCGAAGGCAGUUUACUGGGCCUUAACUGACGCUGAGGAACGAAAGCAUGGGUAGCGAAC